RNAcentral lists this transfer RNA (48 nucleotides) under Mauremys annamensis (Annam leaf turtle). Its description in RNAcentral is "partial tRNA-Leu". Lineage: Eukaryota; Metazoa; Chordata; Testudines; Geoemydidae. The record is from RNAcentral.
CUUUUAAAGGAUAGAAGCAAUCCACUGGUCUUAGAAGCCAUUAACCCU